RNAcentral lists this ribosomal RNA (433 nucleotides) under uncultured bacterium. RNAcentral describes it as "partial 16S ribosomal RNA". It matches the Rfam family "Bacterial small subunit ribosomal RNA", at positions 29 to 507 of the family's 1533-position model. The record is from RNAcentral.
AACGAACGCUGGCGGCAUGCCUAACACAUGCAAGUCGAACGAAACCUUCGGGUCUUUUGUCGCCCGGUUUCGUAACGCGUGGGAACCUUCCCUUAUGUUCGGCAUAACUCCCCGAAAGGGGUGCUAAUACCGGAUAAUGUCUUCUACCCAAUGAUUUAUUGCCUUUGGUUGGGCCCGCGUUGGAUUAGCUCUUUGGUAGGGUAAUAGCCUACUAAGGCGACGAUGCAUAGCUUGUUUGAGAGAAUGCUCAGCGACACUGGGAGUGAGACACGGCCGAGAAUCCUACGGGAGGCGGCAGUGCGUGAUAGUGGAAAGCGGGGGAAAGGAUGAAGCAGCAAUGACGGGUGAGCGAUGAAGGUAUUAGAGUUGAAAAGCGCUUUUAACCGGGAUGAUAAUGACAGUACCGGGAGAAUAAGCUACGGCUAACUACGUG